UGUUAUGAAGGUACAAGCUGCUCGUGAUGAAAUGCAAUGGGGUGAAGAGGGCCCUCCUCCAUUGCUCGUGAAAAUCGCUCCAGAUUUGUCUAAAGAAGAUCUCGAAGAUAUUGCUGCAGUGGCCCUUGCCCUUCGCUUGGACGGAUUGAUUAUAUCAAACACAACUGUUUCAAGACCAGACAGAAGACUCUGUUAGUAGAAACCCAGUGGCUUCUGAAGCUGGUGGCUUGAGUGGGAAACCACUAUUUGAUACCUCUACCAGACUCUUAAAGGAUAUGUACCUGUUGACAAGGGUGGCAGGGUUGCUUCAUUUCUUCUGAGGUUGCUGCAUUGGCUUUGAGGGAAUGAAAGAUCUAAAGCUUGAUAGAAACAUAAAGACACACGGCCCUUCUUCAUUAAUGAGUUAAAGUAGAAGACAUUCAUGGACCCUCAUGAUGAAUAUGAUCUGAUGGAACUUGUAUAGUUGUUAUUAGAUUGGAU
Long non-coding RNA from Rosa rugosa (rugosa rose), 480 nucleotides. RefSeq lists it as uncharacterized. Lineage: Eukaryota; Viridiplantae; Streptophyta; Magnoliopsida; Rosales; Rosaceae. The record is from RefSeq and is a predicted model, not a curated record. The transcript is spliced from 6 exons.